UUAUAGGAGACAAUUCAUUUUUGAGGUUCAUUGAAUAACUGAUGUAUUUGAUCUAUAUUAUAGACCAUAUACAUCAAUUAUCCAAUGAACCUAAAAAGUGAAUUGUCUCUUAUAA
Medicago truncatula (barrel medic) is the source of this 115-nucleotide microRNA precursor. It matches the Rfam family "MIR2593 microRNA precursor family". Lineage: Eukaryota; Viridiplantae; Streptophyta; Magnoliopsida; Fabales; Fabaceae. The record is from Rfam.